RNAcentral lists this ribosomal RNA (572 nucleotides) under Desulfomicrobium sp. enrichment culture clone CIBANICRA-SRB29. Its description in RNAcentral is "bacterial SSU rRNA". It matches the Rfam family "Bacterial small subunit ribosomal RNA", at positions 267 to 830 of the family's 1533-position model. The record is from RNAcentral. Lineage: Bacteria; Pseudomonadati; Thermodesulfobacteriota; Desulfovibrionia; Desulfovibrionales; Desulfomicrobiaceae.
CCUCAGGCAACGAUGAGUAGCUGGUCUGAGAGGAGGAUCAGCCACACUGGAACUGAGACACGGCCCAGACUCCUACGGGAGGCAGCAGUGGGGAAUAUUGCGCAAUGGGGGAAACCCUGACGCAGCAACGCCGCGUGAGGGAUGAAGGCUUUCGGGUCGUAAACCUCUGUCAUAAGGGAAGAAAGGGUGGUGGUCUAAUAAGCCUCCAUUUUGACGGUACCUGCAAAGGAAGCACCGGCUAACUCCGUGGCAGCAGCCGCGGUAAUACGGAGGGUGCAAGCGUUAUUCGGAAUUACUGGGCGUAAAGCGCACGAAGGCGGCUUCGUAAGUCAGGGGUGAAAUCCCACGGCUCAACCGUGGAAUUGCCUUUAAAACUGCGGGGCUUGAAUCCUGGAGAGGGCGGCGGAAUUCCUGGUGUAGGAGUGAAAUCCGUAGAUAUCAGGAGGAACACCGGGGGCGAAGGCGGCCACCUGGACAGGUAUUGACACUGAGGUGCGAUAGUGUGGGGAGCAAACAGGAUUACAUACCCUGGUAGUCCACACCGUAAACGAUGGACACUAGGUGUCGGACAA